This is a long non-coding RNA of Anneissia japonica, 1318 nucleotides long. RefSeq lists it as uncharacterized. The transcript has 3 exons. NCBI's taxonomy places the organism in Eukaryota, Metazoa, Echinodermata, Crinoidea, Comatulida, Comatulidae. The record is from RefSeq and is a predicted model, not a curated record.
CUGUUAAGCUGCCGGACUAAUUAAUGUUAGUGUCGAAUUGCACUUCAUCAAGUGACCAAUCAGCUGAUUUGAAUUGUCAACGGAAGCGGUAGUAUUUUGAAUUUUUCUCUGGACUUGUCAUGAUGUUAGGCAGUUAUAAACAUACUCCUUGGAAGUAUUUUAGCAGUACUGUAUUCACUAUUAAGUGGUAUCGCUUUGGAAAUGAGAAGUCCUACAUUCAGUCAAAAUUUCAAUAAUGUGGAAAAGCGGGACUCACGCAUCGAAGGUUUCGAAAAUGGCUUCUAGAAUUUGAUUGCCAAAUGACCACCUUUCGUGUAAUCGCCUGUAUCAAAAACUUCGAUAUUUUUGCAGAGGUCCGUCAGAUACAAUAUUAAUAACCUGGCCUUUCUAUAAUUUGUUAAGAUCAUUAUAGCAGUGUAGUGUAGUCGUUGACUACAGUAUAUCAUCUUGGUAAUGGGGCAUUCAAAAAUGUAUAAGGAUAACUCCAAAACGGAUUAUGAUUAGACUAGAUCAGAGUUAUACUGGGCAAGGGGUUUUCGGUAUUAUCAGGCUUCAAAUGAUUUUAGACAUUCCAGUUGUCUUCUCCUUCAAUUAAGAGCCAUUCAUUUUUAUUCAGUCAGGCAUAUUGUAUAUUGUAUAUGAAGAUUCUCGACCAGUAUAUUUAACUGAAUAUUAUGAAGUAAAAGAUGUACAUCAAUAAUACACUAAAGCAACUAAGCAUGAUUUUGUUUACCGAAUCUUAAACCUCAUAUUAACAUUAUCUUUCUUUUGUAAUUGUAUCUAUAAUUGGAAUGGUCUUCCUGUUUAUUUAAAUAAAGUUGAUGAUAAAACCUCUGACAAAUAACUCUUAACAAUCGAUUUAUUUGAAAUCAGCAAAAGCAAGCUUAGUGGCAAGGAAACAGUUAAAUUCUAAACAUUUUUUAACCAAUGUCUAUUAAUUUGUAUGUGUAAUCUCUUUUUUUUAAUUUUUCAAUUAAUCUUACUGUAAUUUAUUUUUUUCUUAGACCCCAUCAGAAAUUCUUUGUUAGGGAUUAAUUGGGUCGUUCAAAAUCUAUACAUUUAUAAUUUAUAUCGAUAUGUAUACUAGACUCUAUAGUUAGACACAGUAUAACAAUUAAUGAUUAUCCUCUGGCCCCGAAAACCUGAUUUAGAAAUAUGGUGAUGGUUUCCGUAACUUAAAUUGAAUAUGUUCUAUAGAUUCCAUCUGGAAAUAAAGUGAUUCAAUGAAUGAACUAACAUUAUUUCAUUUGAAGUAUUUGUGUCAUUAAAACUGAAAAAAAAAAAAAAAAAAAAAAAAAAAAAAAAAAAAAAAAAAAAA